GCAAUUACAACAAUGCAACACCUAGAAGAGGAAAGCUCAAAUAUCAGAUAAGACGCCCAUAUAUUCAUCAAUAAGGGGGAAAUUACAACACCUUUUUAGACUGAUACUCAUACCUGGAAUGCAAAGAAACUUGAACGCCAAAACAGAGGCUGAAAAGCAAACGUAACGUUGGAAACUCGGCUUUACAAUACUGUUUCGAAGCUCGGACAAUCAGACAUGAACUCGAACAGAAAACGUUGCAGCGCCGGAACCUCGCCGGAAUCUCGAACGGAACUAAACAGACUUGACGAACAGAGCCGACGACCUACGAAUGGGCUGUAACAGGACUCGAUCUCAACAGAAACGUUACACUAAAUGGAACGACAAACUUGAAACUCAGUCGACAAACUCAAACGAACUCUCCACGAGCUUUAAACGAACUCCAUUGACGAAACAAACUUCCGUCGCCAGUUUUCGACCAUUUUCGGUGGUGAUGGAGUUCAGUCGACGAAGAAGAAGACUUAGGACUUUGAUAUGUUUUCAAAUCAGAAAAAUGGCUAUGGCUGCUGGUUUUUUAGAGCUUCUUUGUUAAGCUCCUUGUUCAUGGUUGCUCGAGCAAAAUGAAUGACAGGGGGGUGUUUGGUUUUGUGCAACAGAUCAGUGUUCUUUUGUUCAAGAAGAUCAAAUACAGGGGAGUCGUUAUGGAGGCUAGAUGAAGAAGAAGCUCGAUCGGGGAUGGAUCUAUAUUUUUUGGUUCUUAAUCCUCCUGCUAUGCG
This 755-nucleotide long non-coding RNA is filed under the name Nicotiana tabacum (common tobacco). RNAcentral's name for it is "long non-coding RNA (NTAB_LNC008083)". Lineage: Eukaryota; Viridiplantae; Streptophyta; Magnoliopsida; Solanales; Solanaceae. The record is from RNAcentral.